CAGCUGGAUUUCCCCGGAGGCAGCUUCAGCUGACUCGACAGUGGCGCUCUUUCUGUCUUAAUCUCUCUCCAAAAUCGAGAGAUGUUUCCACCGUAGUCACAGAAGCUUUUUUUCCCAGUGGGCAAUGGCUACUACAGAGGCUCACAACUGGUCAGAAUACAGAGAACAAGGGACUGCGAGUGCUCAAGCCUGAAGGAGACACAUCUAUGGCCACGCCUCUCACCAGGUUAAGGGAGCAUCGCAGAAGAGAGCCUGGGAAGAGUGCAAAGGCCUGAGGAUGGAAAGGUCAUGCUCAGGAUCUGGCUGAGGGCGUGGCACCUGGUUCCAGAGAAACGGCCCAGAGAAGGAGGCUGGAUUUGCAGCCUGCGGUGAGGAUGGCACAGGCUCGGCACUGUGUGAUGAACAUUGAACACCCUCCGUCCCGUCUCCGUGUUGUGUCCAGGCUCCAGAAACAGGCCUGUUUUCGUCACAAGCCCUCAUGGUUGCUGAGAAACGCUCCAGGAUGCAAUUGGAGGUAGGGGCUCUUAUGAACUGAAGCCCCAAGACCUAUUUCAGUAGCUCUUGUCAGAUCUCCCUUGAGAAAUGUCUAUUCCCAGUGGUAUGGCUUGGGCAGCAUGUGGAGCUACCGGCAGUGGGACCAGGCUCUAACCCUAACGCAUGAACUGACUUUGUGGAAGCCACUCUCUAUGGAGAAAUACCUCGC
Long non-coding RNA from Arvicola amphibius (Eurasian water vole), 703 nucleotides. RefSeq lists it as uncharacterized. NCBI's taxonomy places the organism in Eukaryota, Metazoa, Chordata, Mammalia, Rodentia, Cricetidae. The record is from RefSeq and is a predicted model, not a curated record. The transcript has 3 exons.